GGAGAGAUGUCUGAGAGGCUGAAGGAGCACGACUGGAAAUCGUGUGUACGCCCCCAAAGGUGUACCGCGGGUUCGAAUCCCGCUCUCUCCGCCA
Molecule: transfer RNA, 94 nt
Filed under: Syntrophaceae bacterium
Lineage: Bacteria; Pseudomonadati; Thermodesulfobacteriota; Syntrophia; Syntrophales; Syntrophaceae
Also listed under: 1 other name
Description: tRNA-Ser
Rfam family: tRNA
About the family: Transfer RNA (tRNA) molecules are approximately 80 nucleotides in length.
Source: RNAcentral